UGGGGGAUAUUGCACAAUGGGCGAAAGCCUGAUGCAGCGACGCCGCGUGGGGGAUGAAGGCUUUCGGGUUGUAAACCUCUUUCGCUAUCGAACAAGGCCCGCUUAGGGUGGGUUGAGGGUAGGUGGAGAAGAAGCGCCGGCUAACUACGUGCCAGCAGCCGCGGUAAUACGUAGGGCGCGAGCGUUGUCCGGAAUUAUUGGGCGUAAAGGGCUUGUAGGCGGCUUGUUGCGCCUGCUGUGAAAACGCGGGGCUUAACUUCGCGCGUGCAGUGGGUACGGGCAGGCUUGAGUGUGGUAGGGGUGACUGGAAUUCCAAGUGUAGCGGUGGAAUGCGAAGAUAUCUGGAGGAACACCGAUGGCGAAGGCAGGUCACUGGGCCAUUACUGACGCUGAGGAGCGAAAGCAUGGGUAGCGAACAGG
This 420-nucleotide ribosomal RNA is filed under the name bacterium. Its description in RNAcentral is "partial 16S ribosomal RNA". It matches the Rfam family "Bacterial small subunit ribosomal RNA", at positions 355 to 776 of the family's 1533-position model. The record is from RNAcentral.